UUAUUUGAUAGUACCUUACUACUUGGAUAACCGUGGUAAUUCUAGAGCUAAUACAUGCUAAAAACCCCGACUUCGGGAGGGGUGUAUUUAUUAGAUAAAAAACCAAUGCCCUUCGGGGCUCCUUGGUGAUUCAUAAUAACUUCUCAGAUCGCAUGGCCUUGCGCCGGCGACGGUUCAUUCAAAUUUCUGCCCUAUCAACUUUCGAUGGUAAGGUAUUGGCUUACCAUGGUUUCAACGGGUAACGGGGAAUUAGGGUUCGAUUCCGGAGAGGGAGCCUGAGAAACGGCUACCACAUCCAAGGAAGGCAGCAGGCGCGCAAAUUACCCAAUCCCGACACGGGGAGGUAGUGACAAUAAAUACUGAUACAGGGCUCUUUAGGGUCUUGUAAUUGGAAUGAGUACAAUUUAAACCUCUUAACGAGGAACAAUUGGAGGGCAAGUCUGGUGCCAGCAGCCGCGGUAAUUCCAGCUCCAAUAGCGUAUAUUAAAGUUGUUGCAGUUAAAAAGCUCGUAGUUGAACCUUUGGCCUGGCUGGCGGGUCCGCCUCACCGCGUGCACUCGUCCGGCCGGGCCUUUUCUUCUGGAGAACCGCAUGCCCUUCACUGGGUGUGUUGGGGACCAGGACUUUUACUUUGAAAAAAUUAGAGUGUUCAAAGCAGGCCUUUGCUCGAAUACGUUAGCAUGGAAUAAUAGAAUAGGACGUGCGGUCCUAUUUUGUUGGUUUCUAGGACCGCCGUAAUGAUUAAUAGGGACAGUCGGGGGCAUCAGUAUUCAAUUGUCAGAGGUGAAAUUCUUGGAUUUAUUGAAGACUAACUACUGCGAAAGCAUUUGCCAAGGAUGUUUUCAUUAAUCAGUGAACGAAAGUUAGGGGAUCGAAGACGAUCAGAUACCGUCGUAGUCUUAACCAUAAACUAUGCCGACUAGGGAUCGGGCGGUGUUAUUAUUUUGACUCGCUCGGCACCUUACGAGAAAUCAAAGUGU
RNAcentral lists this ribosomal RNA (980 nucleotides) under Periconia chengduensis. RNAcentral describes it as "SSU rRNA". It matches the Rfam family "Eukaryotic small subunit ribosomal RNA", at positions 117 to 1106 of the family's 1831-position model. Lineage: Eukaryota; Fungi; Ascomycota; Dothideomycetes; Pleosporales; Periconiaceae. The record is from RNAcentral.